UACGUAGGGGGCAAGCGUUAUCCGGAAUCACUGGGCGUAAAGGGUGCGUAGGCGGCCAAUCAAGCCAGGGGUGAAAGGCUACGGCUCAACCGUAGUAAGCCCUUGGAACUGAAUGGCUUGAGUGCAGGAGAGGAGAGUGGAAUUCCUAGUGUAGCGGUGAAAUGCGUAGAUAUUAGGAGGAACACCAGUGGCGAAGGCGACUCUCUGGACUGUAACUGACGCUGAGGCAAGAAAGCGUGGGGAGCAAACAGG
RNAcentral lists this ribosomal RNA (252 nucleotides) under uncultured bacterium. RNAcentral describes it as "partial 16S ribosomal RNA". It matches the Rfam family "Bacterial small subunit ribosomal RNA", at positions 524 to 776 of the family's 1533-position model. The record is from RNAcentral.